Ochlerotatus camptorhynchus is the source of this 815-nucleotide long non-coding RNA. RefSeq lists it as uncharacterized. NCBI's taxonomy places the organism in Eukaryota, Metazoa, Arthropoda, Insecta, Diptera, Culicidae. The transcript has 3 exons. The record is from RefSeq and is a predicted model, not a curated record.
UCUUUUUCAAGGUGGUAGCCUUCGAUUUCAUUUUUAUCUUUUACUAAACAUUGUGAAACGCAACCUCGGUUGGUGUUGGUUUGACCAAUCAGAGCAGGACACGUUGGAAUUGAUAAGAGUUAUGAAUUUAUUUCUCGUAUACGAAGUGGCAAACGAUAUUAUCAUAUGAGUCAGGGUUAUUCCUGUUAGACCUGUGCGAGUGAUUAGAUCGUCAAGCCUAAUUGUCAAGUCAAAAUUAUACCCAAGUGUGCUAUAUUGUUCAUACCGAGUGUGCUUUUCUAUAUUAGUCUUGAAGUGAUAAAACGCGUGAUAGCUAACUUUGUUUUAUAAAGGAUCAUUGACAGACGAGCCGGGUUCUGAUACUUCGCGAAAUCUCCUAUCGCUGUUUCUUCAUAUCCGCGAUACACCCAGUACUGUAAUUGUAAAAUAAUAACAGGGAAAAUAAUGGAGCCCACCAAGGAACCAGAGGCCUAUGCAUGGGGUGGCAAUACUGGCAAUCAUGGCAACAAAUACGAAGAAGAUUUAGCAUUGGUGCUGUUUGAGCGAGCAUCUUUCGGGGAAUCAGAAUUCAAACUUGCCUCAGAAAUGAAGGACGCUGGAAAAUUUGAUGACGUAGUCAUAAUUUUCAAAGAACAGGAGGAAGUGUGGUUAAUGCAAGCCAAACACAAAGGCAGCUCAGGUGAUACAAAACCAUUAUCGUUCGACAAUUUUUUUCCGAAGAUGUUCAAGGAUAAUCAAGAUUUUGCUCUUGUGAAGUACAUACAGUCAUAUAUAGAUGUUAUGCAAAAAGAUGAGUUCAAGGAGUUGAAGGAGAA